GUGUCAGCCGCCGCGGUAAGACGAACUGUCCUAACGUUGUUCGGAAUCACUGGGCUUAAAGGGCGCGUAGGCGGUCUGGUAAGUCGGGGGUGAAAUCCUGCAGCUCAACUGUAGAAGUGCCUUCGAUACUGCCGGUCUGGAGGGAGAUAGGGGUGUGCGGAACUUCCAGUGGAGCGGUGAAAUGCGUUGAUAUUGGAAGGAACGCCGGAGGCGAAAGCGGCGCACUGGAUCUCUUCUGACGCUGAGGCGCGAAAGCUAGGGGAGCAAACGGGAUUAGAUACCCUCGUAGUCC
RNAcentral lists this ribosomal RNA (292 nucleotides) under uncultured bacterium. Its description in RNAcentral is "partial 16S ribosomal RNA". It matches the Rfam family "Bacterial small subunit ribosomal RNA", at positions 505 to 796 of the family's 1533-position model. The record is from RNAcentral.